ACGACCUUACUUGAACAGGAUCUGUUCUAUAGGCUCGUACCUCUGUAUUCUUGAUUCCUUAGAAGACAGAAACCCAUGUCUGGUUGAUGAACCAUGAGCAUGGAGCCAGAGCGUGAUUAACAGAGCUUUGUGGGUUUACUCAUGGCUUAGUAGACGAUCGUUGCUAGCCCAUCUGAUGGGUCUUGCAUGGCUUCAUGGUUGUCUGACAGACA
This 212-nucleotide small nucleolar RNA is filed under the name Helianthus annuus (common sunflower). RNAcentral's name for it is "Plant small nucleolar RNA U3". It matches the Rfam family "Plant small nucleolar RNA U3". From Rfam's summary of the family: Small nucleolar RNAs (snoRNAs) are involved in the processing and modification of rRNA in the nucleolus. The record is from RNAcentral. Lineage: Eukaryota; Viridiplantae; Streptophyta; Magnoliopsida; Asterales; Asteraceae.